GGGUUGUGAGGUUAAGCGACUAAGCGUACACGGUGGAUGCCCUGGCAGUCAGAGGCGAUGAAGGACGUGCUAAUCUGCGAUAAGCGUCGGUGAGGUGAUAUGAACCGUUAUAACCGGCGAUUUCCGAAUGGGGAAACCCAGUGUGUUUCGACACACUAUCAUUAACUGAAUCCAUAGGUUAAUGAGGCGAACCGGGGGAACUGAAACAUCUAAGUACCCCGAGGAAAAGAAAUCAACCGAGAUUCCCCCAGUAGCGGCGAGCGAACGGGGAGGAGCCCAGAGCCUGAAUCAGUGUGUGUGUUAGUGGAAGCGUCUGGAAAGGCGYGCGAUACAGGGUGACAGCCCCGUACACAAAAAURCACAUAUUGUGAGCUCGAUGAGUAGGGCGGGACACGUGGUAUCCUGUCUGAAUAUGGGGGGACCAUCCUCCAAGGCUAAAUACUCCUGACUGACCGAUAGUGAACCAGUACCGUGAGGGAAAGGCGAAAAGAACCCCGGCGAGGGGAGUGAAAAAGAACCUGAAACCGUGUACGUACAAGCAGUGGGAGCCUCUUUAUGGGGUGACUGCGUACCUUUUGUAUAAUGGGUCAGCGACUUAUAUUCUGUAGCAAGGUUAACCGAAUAGGGGAGCCGAAGGGAAACCGAGUCUUAACUGGGCGUUAAGUUGCAGGGUAUAGACCCGAAACCCGGUGAUCUAGCCAUGGGCAGGUUGAAGGUUGGGUAACACUAACUGGAGGACCGAACCGACUAAUGUUGAAAAAUUAGCGGAUGACUUGUGGCUGGGGGUGAAAGGCCAAUCAAACCGGGAGAUAGCUGGUUCUCCCCGAAAGCUAUUUAGGUAGCGCCUCGUGAAUUCAUCUCCGGGGGUAGAGCACUGUUUCGGCAAGGGGGUCAUCCCGACUUACCAACCCGAUGCAAACUGCGAAUACCGGAGAAUGUUAUCACGGGAGACACACGGCGGGUGCUAACGUCCGUCGUGAAGAGGGAAACAACCCAGACCGCCAGCUAAGGUCCCAAAGUCAUGGUUAAGUGGGAAACGAUGUGGGAAGGCCCAGACAGCCAGGAUGUUGGCUUAGAAGCAGCCAUCAUUUAAAGAAAGCGUAAUAGCUCACUGGUCGAGUCGGCCUGCGCGGAAGAUGUAACGGGGCUAAACCAUGCACCGAAGCUGCGGCAGCGACACUAUGUGUUGUUGGGUAGGGGAGCGUUCUGUAAGCCUGUGAAGGUGGCCUGUGAGGGUUGCUGGAGGUAUCAGAAGUGCGAAUGCUGACAUAAGUAACGAUAAAGCGGGUGAAAAGCCCGCUCGCCGGAAGACCAAGGGUUCCUGUCCAACGUUAAUCGGGGCAGGGUGAGUCGACCCCUAAGGCGAGGCCGAAAGGCGUAGUCGAUGGGAAACAGGUUAAUAUUCCUGUACUUGGUGUUACUGCGAAGGGGGGACGGAGAAGGCUAUGUUGGCCGGGCGACGGUUGUCCCGGUUUAAGCGUGUAGGCUGGUUUUCCAGGCAAAUCCGGAAAACCAAGGCUGAGGCGUGAUGACGAGGCACUACGGUGCUGAAGCGACAAAUGCCCUGCUUCCAGGAAAAGCCUCUAAGCAUCAGGUAACAUCAAAUCGUACCCCAAACCGACACAGGUGGUCAGGUAGAGAAUACCAAGGCGCUUGAGAGAACUCGGGUGAAGGAACUAGGCAAAAUGGUGCCGUAACUUCGGGAGAAGGCACGCUGAUAUGUAGGUGAAGCGACUUGCUCGUGGAGCUGAAAUCAGUCGAAGAUACCAGCUGGCUGCAACUGUUUAUUAAAAACACAGCACUGUGCAAACACGAAAGUGGACGUAUACGGUGUGACGCCUGCCCGGUGCCGGAAGGUUAAUUGAUGGGGUUAGCGGUAACGCGAAGCUCUUGAUCGAAGCCCCGGUAAACGGCGGCCGUAACUAUAACGGUCCUAAGGUAGCGAAAUUCCUUGUCGGGUAAGUUCCGACCUGCACGAAUGGCGUAAUGAUGGCCAGGCUGUCUCCACCCGAGACUCAGUGAAAUUGAACUCGCUGUGAAGAUGCAGUGUACCCGCGGCAAGACGGAAAGACCCCGUGAACCUUUACUAUAGCUUGACACUGAACAUUGAGCCUUGAUGUGUAGGAUAGGUGGGAGGCUUUGAAGUGUGGACGCCAGUCUGCAUGGAGCCGACCUUGAAAUACCACCCUUUAAUGUUUGAUGUUCUAACGUUGGCCCGUAAUCCGGGUUGCGGACAGUGUCUGGUGGGUAGUUUGACUGGGGCGGUCUCCUCCUAAAGAGUAACGGAGGAGCACGAAGGUUGGCUAAUCCUGGUCGGACAUCAGGAGGUUAGUGCAAUGGCAUAAGCCAGCUUGACUGCGAGCGUGACGGCGCGAGCAGGUGCGAAAGCAGGUCAUAGUGAUCCGGUGGUUCUGAAUGGAAGGGCCAUCGCUCAACGGAUAAAAGGUACUCCGGGGAUAACAGGCUGAUACCGCCCAAGAGUUCAUAUCGACGGCGGUGUUUGGCACCUCGAUGUCGGCUCAUCACAUCCUGGGGCUGAAGUAGGUCCCAAGGGUAUGGCUGUUCGCCAUUUAAAGUGGUACGCGAGCUGGGUUUAGAACGUCGUGAGACAGUUCGGUCCCUAUCUGYCGUGGGCGCUGGAGAACUGAGGGGGGCUGCUCCUAGUACGAGAGGACCGGAGUGGACGCAUCACUGGUGUUCGGGUUGUCAUGCCAAUGGCACUGCCCGGUAGCUAAAUGCGGAAGAGAUAAGUGCUGAAAGCAUCUAAGCACGAAACUUGCCCCGAGAUGAGUUCUCCCUGACUCCUUGAGAGUCCUGAAGGAACGUUGAAGACGACGACGUUGAUAGGCCGGGUGUGUAAGCGCAGCGAUGCGUUGAGCUAACCGGUACUAAUGAACCGUGAGGCUUAACCUUACAACGCCGAAG
This 2925-nucleotide ribosomal RNA is filed under the name Escherichia coli. RNAcentral describes it as "bacterial LSU rRNA". It matches the Rfam family "Bacterial large subunit ribosomal RNA". The record is from RNAcentral. Lineage: Bacteria; Pseudomonadati; Pseudomonadota; Gammaproteobacteria; Enterobacterales; Enterobacteriaceae.